This is a non-coding RNA of Gasterosteus aculeatus aculeatus (three-spined stickleback), 646 nucleotides long. NCBI's taxonomy places the organism in Eukaryota, Metazoa, Chordata, Actinopteri, Perciformes, Gasterosteidae. The record is from RefSeq and is a predicted model, not a curated record.
CCGCUCGGAACCAGACUGCUGCCCUGGCUGUUUUUCGCCGUCGCGCGCACAUCGAGGGUGACUCAACACGGCAUUUCGUCCCGUCACGCUUCUCCUCAAAGCUCCGGGCUUACAUGGUGUCCAAGACCUCGCCACUGCCUCCGGGACCCGGAGAGACGCAGGAGUGGAGCAGACUGAGCAGAGGGAAAGGAGUAAACAUGGUAAGAAAAAGGAAAGACAUCCAAUGGAGGAAAGGCAGGAGAACAAUGCUAAUCAAUUCUUGAAAUCCCAAAGCUACAAAAUGUUCUUAUUCAUAAAAGCUUUUAAAACUUUAAAAACCAAAAGUACAGUAGAAACAUUCAUUGAUACAAGGCCAUUUUGAGUUGGGGAUUAUUGUACAAUGUGUGAUUUACAGUGCUCGUAUGAAAGCGGCAGGUUUCCAUAAACGGCCCCUCUGAUUAUUAUCAUCAUCAUCAUCAUUAAUAAUAUACCUCAACUAUCUUUUGGAGGAAGUCUUUUUGUAAUAAAGAAAUUGCCACAUAGGCUGGCGCUGUGCUUAAACCUCUUGUGAAGUCUGCUGCUGCUUAAUGCAGGUGGUAGACGGAGAGAAAUGGAAAAAAAAGAAGCCACAAAGACGGACUCUGAACCCGUGACUGGUGAGUGCAAU